RNAcentral lists this ribosomal RNA (253 nucleotides) under uncultured bacterium. RNAcentral's name for it is "partial 16S ribosomal RNA". It matches the Rfam family "Bacterial small subunit ribosomal RNA", at positions 524 to 776 of the family's 1533-position model. The record is from RNAcentral.
UACGUAGGGUGCAAGCGUUGUCCGGAAUUAUUGGGCGUAAAGAGCUCGUAGGCGGUCUGUCGCGUCGGACGUGAAAAUCCAGGGCUCAACCCUGGACCUGCGUUCGAUACGGGCAGACUAGAGUUCGGCAGGGGAGACUGGAAUUCCUGGUGUAGCGGUGAAAUGCGUAGAUAUCGGGAGGAACACCAGUGGCGAAGGCGACAUCCUGGACCGGUAUUGACGCUGAGGCGCGAAAGCCAGGGGAGCAAACGGG